RNAcentral lists this ribosomal RNA (1482 nucleotides) under metagenome. RNAcentral's name for it is "bacterial SSU rRNA". It matches the Rfam family "Bacterial small subunit ribosomal RNA". The record is from RNAcentral.
GAUCCUGGCUCAGAUUGAACGCUGGCGGCAUGCCUUACACAUGCAAGUCGAACGGCAGCACGGGAGCAAUCCUGGUGGCGAGCGGCGAACGGGUGAGUAAUAUAUCGGAACGUGCCCAGUAAUGGGGGAUAGCCCGGCGAAAGCCGGAUUAAUACCGCAUACGACCUACGGGUGAAAGCGGGGGAUCGCAAGACCUCGCGUUAUUGGAGCGGCCGAUAUCAGAUUAGCUUGUUGGUGGGGUAAAAGCCCACCAAGGCGACGAUCUGUAGCUGGUCUGAGAGGACGACCAGCCACACUGGGACUGAGACACGGCCCAGACUCCUACGGGAGGCAGCAGUGGGGAAUUUUGGACAAUGGGCGCAAGCCUGAUCCAGCCAUGCCGCGUGUGGGAAGAAGGCCUUCGGGUUGUAAACCACUUUUGUCAGGGAAGAAACGGUUCGAUCUAAUACAUUGGACUAAUGACGGUACCUGAAGAAUAAGCACCGGCUAACUACGUGCCAGCAGCCGCGGUAAUACGUAGGGUGCAAGCGUUAAUCGGAAUUACUGGGUGUAAAGCGUGCGCAGGCGGCUUUGCAAGACAGAUGUGAAAUCCCCGGGCUCAACCUGGGAACUGCAUUUGUGACUGCAUGGCUAAAGUACGGUAGAGGGGGAUGGAAUUCCGCGUGUAGCAGUGAAAUGCGUAGAUAUGCGGAGGAACACCGAUGGCGAAGGCAAUCCCCUGGACCUGUACUGACGCUCAUGCACGAAAGCGUGGGGAGCAAACAGGAUUAGAUACCCUGGUAGUCCACGCCCUAAACGAUGUCAACUGGUUGUUGGACGGCUUGCUGUUCAGUAACGAAGCUAACGCGUGAAGUUGACCGCCUGGGGAGUACGGCCGCAAGGUUGAAACUCAAAGGAGUUGACGGGGACCCGCACAAGCGGUGGAUGAUGUGGUUUAAUUCGAUGCAACGCGAAAAACCUUACCUACCCUUGACAUGUCUAGAAGUUUCCAGAGAUGGAUUCGUGCUCGAAAGAGAACUAGAACACAGGUGCUGCAUGGCCGUCGUCAGCUCGUGUCGUGAGAUGUUGGGUUAAGUCCCGCAACGAGCGCAACCCUUAUCAUUAGUUGCUACGCAAGGGCACUCUAAUGAGACUGCCGGUGACAAACCGGAGGAAGGUGGGGAUGACGUCAGGUCAUCAUGGCCCUUAUGGGUAGGGCUACACACGUCAUACAAUGGCCGGUACAGAGGGCUGCCAACCCGCGAGGGGGAGCUAAUCUCAGAAAACCGGUCGUAGUCCGGAUCGCAGUCUGCAACUCGACUGCGUGAAGUCGGAAUCGCUAGUAAUCGCGGAUCAGCUUGCCGCGGUGAAUACGUUCCCGGGUCUUGUACACACCGCCCGUCACACCAUGGGAGCGGGUUCUGCCAGAAGUAGUUAGCCUAACCGCAAGGGGGGCGAUUACCACGGCAGGGUUCGUGACUGGGGUGAAGUCGUAACAAGGUA